This 657-nucleotide ribosomal RNA is filed under the name uncultured organism. RNAcentral describes it as "bacterial SSU rRNA". It matches the Rfam family "Bacterial small subunit ribosomal RNA", at positions 786 to 1451 of the family's 1533-position model. The record is from RNAcentral.
CCCGGUAGUCAUAGCUGUAAACGAUGGAUGCUAGUUGUGGGCGGUAGAAAUUCCCUCUGGGCCGAAGCACACGCGGCACGCAUCCCGCGUGGGGAGUACGCCCGCAAGGAUCUCACCCGAACGGAUCGACGGGGGCACAAACAAGCAACAGGAGCGUGUCGAAUUUAAUUGGAUGACACAGGAAGUACCUUACGUGGGACAGACAUGCACUUGGUAGGGAACCGCAAGGGGACCGACCUUCGGGAGCAUGCACAGGUGCUGCAUGUCUGUCGUCAGCUCGUCCCGUGAGGUGUCGGGUUAACUCCCGUAGCGAGCGCAACCCGUCCCGUUAGUUACGAGUCUCUAAGGGACUCGGCCGGGACAACUGGGAGGAAGGUGGGGACGACCUCAAGUCAGCAUGGCCUUUAUAUCACGGGGCUACACACAGCGCUACAAUGGCCGGUACAAUAGGUUGCAAAGUCGUGAGGCGGAGCAAAUCCUCAAAGCCGGUCUCAGUUCGAAUUGCAGUCUGCAACUCGCCCUGCAUGAAGCUGGAGUUGCUAGUAAUCGCAGGUCAGCUAUACUGCGGUGUUACGUUCCCGGGCCUUGUACACACCGCCCGUCACAUCAUGGGAGCUGUCAACGCCUGAAGCCGGUGAUCUAACCCGUAAGGGAGGC